GGAAGAGAGAGAAAAAAAAAAAGAGGAUGACUAUCCUGACUGAGAAUAGUUGGAGAUUAACACAGAGUACUCAGUUUUUCCCAUUUACUAUGAUGUUACUUGUGGACUUUCCAUAUGUAGCUUUUAUUGUGCUGAGAGACUUGCUCUUUCGCCUAGGCUGGAGUGCAAUGGCAUGAUCUCGGUCCACUGCAACUCUACCUCCCGAGUUCAAGCGAUUCUUUCCCGCCUCAGCCUCCUGAAUAGCUGGGACUACAGGAGCGUGCUACCAUGCCCUGCUAAUUUUUGUUUUAAUAGAGACGGGGUUUCACUACGUUGUCCAGGCUGGUCUCGAAUUCUUGGCCUCUAGUGAUCCGCCUGCCUCCAAAUACAUCACUUUUAUAUCUACUGUGUCACUUACCUGAAUACAAUUUUUAAAAAUCUUCUUGACUAUUUUUAAAUGUUUCAAUUUUUAAUGAUUUUUGAUAUAUCUCUGGAGUUAAAAAACAUUAGACUUGUUAAUGAGGUCCAUGUGAGAGAUUAGGGAACAGAUGCUAUACGUAGUAUAAAUAGAAAAAUAUAUUUAUCAAUUAAUUCCCCAAAACAGGUCUACAAUUCUUUAUCCAGAACCACUGGGGUCAGGCAUAUUUCACAUUUGUUUGAAAUAUAAUUUUUGGUAUUUAACAUUAAAUAUAUAUGUUAAAUAAUAGUCCCAGUAGGGUAUGGACAACACAUAAAAAU
RNAcentral lists this long non-coding RNA (717 nucleotides) under Homo sapiens (human). RNAcentral describes it as "HSALNT0252511". Lineage: Eukaryota; Metazoa; Chordata; Mammalia; Primates; Hominidae. The record is from RNAcentral.